AAAGAAAGAGCUCCGUUGUAUGGAAGACUAGUGAUUUUGUUGUUCUACUUUGGAUGUAACAAGGAAUCACUAAUCAUCCUACAAAGGGACUCGCAUAUCGUCGGCUACCUGGUG
Molecule: microRNA precursor, 114 nt
Filed under: Polistes canadensis
Lineage: Eukaryota; Metazoa; Arthropoda; Insecta; Hymenoptera; Vespidae
Description: microRNA pca-mir-7 precursor
Gene: pca-mir-7
Rfam family: mir-7 microRNA precursor family (bases 7-93)
About the family: This family represents the microRNA (miRNA) precursor mir-7. In this case the mature sequence comes from the 5' arm of the precursor. The extents of the hairpin precursors are not generally known and are estimated based on hairpin prediction.
Source: miRBase by way of RNAcentral